ACCCUCCGGAUUCCUUACCCAUCAGCCUUAAACACUGGUCGGAGUGUUUAAACAAGGAGGAUAAGUAAAAUUGAAACUAAUUUACAUUCUUUUGUGACACACAAACUCUUUUCAGACAAAA
Molecule: small nucleolar RNA, 121 nt
Filed under: Echinops telfairi (small Madagascar hedgehog)
Lineage: Eukaryota; Metazoa; Chordata; Mammalia; Afrosoricida; Tenrecidae
Description: Small nucleolar RNA SNORA61 (ENSETEG00000024367.1)
Source: RNAcentral